This 497-nucleotide ribosomal RNA is filed under the name uncultured bacterium. RNAcentral's name for it is "partial 16S ribosomal RNA". It matches the Rfam family "Bacterial small subunit ribosomal RNA", at positions 28 to 507 of the family's 1533-position model. The record is from RNAcentral.
GACGAACGCUGGCGGCGUGCCUAAUACAUGCAAGUUGAGCGCUGAAGGUUGGUACUUGUACCGACUGGAUGAGCAGCGAACGGGUGAGUAACGCGUGGGGAAUCUGCCUUUGAGCGGGGGACAACAUUUGGAAACGAAUGCUAAUACCGCAUAAAAACUUUAAACACAAGUUUUAAGUUUGAAAGAUGCAAUUGCAUCACUCAAAGAUGAUCCCGCGUUGUAUUAGCUAGUUGGUGAGGUAAAGGCUCACCAAGGCGAUGAUACAUAGCCGACCUGAGAGGGUGAUCGGCCACAUUGGGACUGAGACACGGCCCAAACUCCUACGGGAGGCAGCAGUAGGGAAUCUUCGGCAAUGGACGAAAGUCUGACCGAGCAACGCCGCGUGAGUGAAGAAGGUUUUCGGUUCGUAAAACUCUGUUGGUAGAGAAGAACGUUGGUGAGAGUGGAAAGCUCAUCAAGUGACGGUAACUACCCAGAAAGGGACGGCUAACUACGUG